CCAGACUCCUACGGGAGGCAGCAGUGAGGAAUAUUGGUCAAUGGCCGCAGGGCUGAACCAGCCAAGUCGCGUGAGGGAUGACGGUCCUAUGGAUUGUAAACCUCUUUUGUCGGGGAGCAAAGAGGCCACGUGUGGUCAAAAGCGAGAGUACCCGAAGAAAAAGCAUCGGCUAACUCCGUGCCAGCAGCCGCGGUAAUACGGAGGAUGCGAGCGUUAUCCGGAUUUAUUGGGUUUAAAGGGUGCGUAGGCGGGACGGUAAGUCAGCGGUAAAAAUGCGGAGCUCAACUCCGUCGAGCCGUUGAAACUGCCGUUCUUGAGUGAGCGAGAAGUAUGCGGAAUGCGUGGUGUAGCGGUGAAAUGCAUAGAUAUCACGCAGAACUCCGAUUGCGAAGGCAGCAUACCGGCGCUCAACUGACGCUGAAGCACGAAGGCGUGGGUAUCGAACAGGAUUAGAUACCCCAGUAAA
Molecule: ribosomal RNA, 466 nt
Filed under: uncultured bacterium
Lineage: Bacteria
Description: bacterial SSU rRNA
Rfam family: Bacterial small subunit ribosomal RNA
Source: RNAcentral